GACGAACGCUGGCGGCGUGCUUAACACAUGCAAGUCGAGCGGUAAGGCCCUUUCGGGGGUACGACGAGCGGCGAACGGGUGAGUAACACGUGGGUGACCUGCCCUAGCUCUGGGAUAAGCCUGGGAAACUGGGUCUAAUACCGGAUAUGACUCCAUGACGCAUGUUGUGGGGUGGAAANCCUUGUGCGGCUAGGGAUGGGCCCGCGGCCUAUCAGCUUGUUGGUGGGGUGAUGGCCUACCAAGGCGACGACGGGUAGCCGGCCUGAGAGGGCGACCGGCCACACUGGGAC
RNAcentral lists this ribosomal RNA (290 nucleotides) under uncultured bacterium. Its description in RNAcentral is "partial 16S ribosomal RNA". It matches the Rfam family "Bacterial small subunit ribosomal RNA", at positions 28 to 319 of the family's 1533-position model. The record is from RNAcentral.